RNAcentral lists this ribosomal RNA (404 nucleotides) under Fusobacteriota bacterium. RNAcentral describes it as "Fusobacteria bacterium partial 16S ribosomal RNA". It matches the Rfam family "Bacterial small subunit ribosomal RNA", at positions 355 to 776 of the family's 1533-position model. The record is from RNAcentral. Lineage: Bacteria; Fusobacteriati; Fusobacteriota.
UGGGGAAUAUUGCACAAUGGAGGGAACUCUGAUGCAGCCACGCCGCGUGAGUGAAGAAGGAAUUUGUUUCGUAAAACUCUGUUCUAUGGGAAGAAAAGGACUGUACCAUAGGAGAAAGCUCCGGCUAAAUACGUGCCAGCAGCCGCGGUAAUACGUAUGGAGCGAGCGUUGUCCGGAAUUAUUGGGCGUAAAGGGUGCGCAGGCGGCUUUACAAGUUGGAUGUGAAAUAUUGUGGCUCAACCACAAACGUGCAUCCAAAACUGCAAAGCUUGAGUUAAGGAGAGGUAAGUGGAAUUCCUGGUGUAGCGGUGGAAUGCGUAGAUAUCAGGAGGAAUACCGGUGGCGAAGGCGACUUACUGGACUUAAACUGACGCUCAGGCACGAAAGCGUGGGGAGCAAACAGG